This 404-nucleotide long non-coding RNA is filed under the name Capsella rubella. RNAcentral describes it as "long non-coding RNA (CRUB_LNC003722)". Lineage: Eukaryota; Viridiplantae; Streptophyta; Magnoliopsida; Brassicales; Brassicaceae. The record is from RNAcentral.
UUUUUUUUCUUUAACACUGAAAACUUUAUUAAUUACCAGAAAAAUCAUUGUGAAUUACAUCAGAAAUACAACUUGGAAUAUGCUGAUAAUAAGUAAACAUAGGAACAACAGAACGCUGAAAUUUUGCUAACAAAUCAGCCGGGCGAUUUGUUUUUCUUGAAACCCAACAAUACUCAAUAUUAUGAAAUCUUGCCUCCCAACUACGAAUUUCGUGAAUCCAAUUCAAAAUAUCAAACCGCUGAGAGUUGCCUUUUAAGAUGUUCAUCAGAAUUUGAUUAUCUCCUUCAAAAACAACUUUUCGAUGACCUUUAAUCCAGAGAUGAUGCAUAGCAGCUAGGAGACUUUGACAUUCUGCUUCAAUAGCAUUGUUAACAAAAGAACCCGUAGAAUGACCAGCCCCUUGA